CCGGUUGAUCCUGCCGGAGGUCACUGCUAUUGGGAUUCGACUAAGCCAUGCGAGUCGAGAGGGUUCGGCCCUCGGCUGACGGCUCAGUAACACGUGGAUAAUCUGCCCUUAGGUGGAGGAUAAUCUCGGGAAACUGAGGAUAAUACUCCAUAGAUCUAGGAUGCUGGAAUGCAUCUAGACUGAAAGCUCCGGCGCCUAAGGAUGAGUCUGCGGACUAUCAGGUUGUAGUCAGGGUAAAGACCUGACUAGCCUACGACGGAUACGGGUUGUGAGAGCAAUAACCCGGAGACGAUAUCUGAGACACGAUAUCGGGCCCUACGGGGCGCAGCAGGCGCGAAAACUUCACACUGUGCGAAAGCGCGAUGAGGGAAUCCCAAGUGCUUGCUCGUAAGAGUAAGCUGUUUCUUUGUCUAAAACGCAGAGAGAGUAAGGGCUGGGUAAGACGGGUGCCAGCCGCCGCGGUAAUACCUGCAGCUCAAGUGGUGAUCAUUAUUAUUGGGCCUAAAACGUCCGUAGCCGGUUUAGUAAAUGCCUGGGUAAAUCGUGUAGCUUAACUAUACGAAUUCUGGGUAGACUGCUAAACUUGAGACCGGGAGAGGCUAGAGGUACUCCU
Molecule: ribosomal RNA, 613 nt
Filed under: uncultured archaeon
Lineage: Archaea
Description: bacterial SSU rRNA
Rfam family: Archaeal small subunit ribosomal RNA
Source: RNAcentral